UACGUAGGGGGCAAGCGUUAUCCGGAUUUACUGGGUGUAAAGGGAGCGUAGGUGGCAUGGUAAGCCAGAAGUGAAAACCCGGGGCUCAACCCCGCGGAUUGCUUUUGGAACUAUCAGGCUGGAGUGCUGGAGGGGUAAGCGGAAUUCCUAGUGUAGCGGUGAAAUGCGUAGAUAUUAGGAGGGACACCGGUGGCGAAGGCGGCUUACUGGACAGAAACUGACACUGAGGCUCGAAAGCGUGGGGAGCAAACAGG
RNAcentral lists this ribosomal RNA (254 nucleotides) under uncultured bacterium. Its description in RNAcentral is "partial 16S ribosomal RNA". It matches the Rfam family "Bacterial small subunit ribosomal RNA", at positions 524 to 776 of the family's 1533-position model. The record is from RNAcentral.